This 170-nucleotide ribosomal RNA is filed under the name uncultured bacterium. RNAcentral's name for it is "partial 16S ribosomal RNA". It matches the Rfam family "Bacterial small subunit ribosomal RNA", at positions 167 to 334 of the family's 1533-position model. The record is from RNAcentral.
UACCGCAUACGCUCUACGGAGGAAAGCGGGGGAAUCUUCGGUACCUCGUGUCUACUAGGAUGGGCCUAUAUUGGAUUAGCUAGUUGGUAAGGUAAAGGCUUACCAAGGCGACGAUCCAGUAGCUGGUUUGAGAGAAUGAUCAGCCACACUGGGACUGAGACACGGCCCAG